Molecule: long non-coding RNA, 2036 nt
Organism: Malus domestica (apple)
Lineage: Eukaryota; Viridiplantae; Streptophyta; Magnoliopsida; Rosales; Rosaceae
Source: RefSeq, a predicted model, not a curated record
CGCGCAAGGGGGUAAAAUUUUGGCGCUGCAAUUGUAAAAAUUAGGCGCUCUUUUGAAUUGGACAAACUGGGGUAAAAUUAGGCGCUAGAAUUUUCAAUCGUCCAGACAGCUCUCUUUCACUCGGUCUCUCGCUUCCCUCUCUCUCACUCCGAUCGUCUUUGGCUUCCUUCAUCUGCCACUUCCUCGAGUGAUUUUCGAAGACGCCGGACAUCCACCUCAUGCAAUACAGUGCAUGAGGAAUUCCUCGCCAUUACCCACCCAUCGUUAGACGAAGACAAAGGAAUCUGUGUUUGCUUUAAUCCUAAAUUAGGGUUUUAUUUGAAGGCUCUGUGUAUAUUGAAAGCUCUGGUUGCAAAUCUGUGAUUUUUUUAAUUGGUUGCGGGGAAAAUGCAAUGGUAACUGGGCUCAGGAAAAUGGUAUGAAGGAAAGCUCUGAAAUUAGAUAUUGCUAUUAUGUGCUAGAAACUACAGUACCCUUUCGUUCCUCAUCCGCACACUUUUUACAGCUGCUUAUUAAUCACUUAUUAAUAACUUAACAUGCUUAGCAAACCACUCCUCUGCACACUUUUUACAGCUGCUUAUUAAUCACAUAUUAGUAACUUAACAUGCUUAGCAAACCACUCCUCUGCACACUUUUUACAGCUGCUUCAUCUUCAACAUUGUACCUCAUGGUCCAACUUUUGGAAGUAUCUUCACAUAGCUUGUUUUAGUUUUCAGACUACAUGCUAAUUAAUGUAAAAUAGAACUUGUGGAAAGUGGCUUGAUCUUGUGCAUAUUUAGCAUAAGCAGAACCCUUGCAAAUGAUGGCAUAUAAUUAUUAGUACAAAGAUGCAAUUCUUCUGGUGUGAUUUGAUUACUUACUAGCGUAACUGAACUUGCAAAUGAGAAAAAAGAAAUGUAUAACCAAACUCUGUAAAGCAAGCAAAUGAAAAUUACUAAAUGAGAAUUUGAAAAUAAUAAAUAAUGAUAAGAAUUUGAAAAUUACUAAAUGAGAAUUUGAAAAUAAUAAAUGAGAAUUUGCAAUGCGCCUAUGUCGUAAGAUACACUUUUAGGAUUAAUAAUUGGAUUAAGGCAGAUUUCCAUUAUAUAAAUCAUGUACCAAUUGCCAACUAGGACGACCUUUUAUGCUUUCAAACUUUCUCUCUACCUUAGCUAGCUAGCUAUGAACUUGAUGAUAUUAUCAUGAUGUCAAUCAAUUUAAUCAUUGAAUUACUGCUUUUAUUUCAAAUGGUAGCUACAAGCCAAACUUGAUGAUAUUAUCAUGAUGUCGAUCAAUUUAAUCAUUCCAUGUAGUUAAGCUUUCAAUUUGCUUUUAGAACUAUUAAAUGUAAUGAACUUUGGUAUUGCCUUUGUUACCUUAAUCUGUAUAUUGCCUUUGUUUCCUAUAUCUUCUCUGCAACCUAUUGGAGUCUAAGUGAGAAAGCAGCUCAUUUAGAACAAAGAAGGUGCGCUUUACCACAAGGAUAUUUGUCUUGCAAAGUAAUACUUUCCCAUCCAAAAGUUUGAUGUCGCAGUUGAUCACUUGUUGUCGAAGUGUGACCAAUGCGCCUCUCGCAUGAUCAGCAUCUACUGCUCCAGGCGUGAGUGCUCCAUUGAUUGGGAAGCCUACACCCUUUACUGAGGCUGCUCCUAUGGCGUCCUAGGUGCCCAUAUCAUCGACGUCAUCAGUGUCGGUUCAAUUGCUCAGUGCAUGGCGGCCUUAUCGGCACUGUCGUGAGCCGGAGCCUUUUGAUCACACUUCCUCGACAUUCAAAGUCAAGGGUGGGGCCUCCCAGCCAGCUAAAAGAAACACCAGGGGGCCUAAUUGAAUGCUGAAGCCGGCAUAGAGCGUAUGUUUGUCCGCCUCCUUGAUGAAGAUUGCGUAUGACUCGCGACAUCGUGGAGUGGCUACCUCAUAGCAACAUAGCAGCGUCGCUACUAGCUGUGGUUAUGUUAUUCAACAUUGUUGUCCUGUGCAAUUGUAGUUUUUUAUUUUUUGUUCGGACAUAUUGUAUGUACAUUUUCAUAUAUUUUAUAAUUAAAUACUUUUUCUUGGUU